This is a non-coding RNA of Phascolarctos cinereus (koala), 589 nucleotides long. Lineage: Eukaryota; Metazoa; Chordata; Mammalia; Diprotodontia; Phascolarctidae. The record is from RefSeq and is a predicted model, not a curated record.
UUUAGGGGAAGGACAAAGGAACGGAAAAGAGUUCAUCGCAGUUCUUCACAUCCUCUACCCCCAUCUCCUUAUUCUCAUACUUCCAGGGAGGCUGUGGGAACAGGUCUGUUCUCAGAGAACCCAGUGAAUGGUAGUCUUCUACCCACUAUACAAGGCUGUUUCCAAACUCCUCAUUCUGACAGUCAAGGCCCUCUAGAACGUGAACCCAUUUCACUUGUCUAGAAGUAUCUUCUACUACCCUCCACCAAGCACCUUCCACUCAAGGUCAAUAAAGCAGUAUGAACAAGAGUUUGGAGACUGGAGCCAGACUGUAAAGAGCUGUGAAUACCAGAAUGAGGAGUCUGGAAUUUUCUUGCAUCAUCUGAAAGCCAUUGGACAUUCCUGAAUAUGGCAGUGAGAAGUCUGAAAUCUGUGUUUUAGCAAGAUUAUUAUGGUGAAGUAGAGCAUAUAGGAUAGCCUGGAAGGGGGAAGAUACUGGAAACAAGGAGACCAGUUAACAAGCCAUGAUCCCUCACCCAGGUGCUCUUUUCUUCUCAUGCCCUUACCAGUACAUCCUUCAGCACCAUUCUCCUCCUUGACCUCCUCAUAG